GAUGAACGCUGGCGGCGUGCCUAAUACAUGCAAGUCGAGCGAACAGAUAAGGAGCUUGCUCCUUUGACGUUAGCGGCGGACGGGUGAGUAACACGUGGGUAACCUACCUAUAAGACUGGGAUAACUUCGGGAAACCGGAGCUAAUACCGGAUAACAUUUGGAACCGCAUGGUUCUAAAGUGAAAGAUGGUUUUGCUAUCACUUAUAGAUGGACCCGCGCCGUAUUAGCUAGUUGGUAAGGUAACGGCUUACCAAGGCGACGAUACGUAGCCGACCUGUGAGAGUGAUCGGCCACACUGGAACUGAGACACGGUCCAGACUCCUACGGGAGGCAGCAGUAGGGAAUCUUCCGCAAUGGGCGAAAGCCUGACGGAGCAACGCCGCGUGAGUGAUGAAGGGUUUCGGCUCGUAAAACUCUGUUAUUAGGGAAGAACAAACGUGUAAGUAACUGUGCACGUCUUGACGGUACCUAAUCAGAAAGCCACGGCUAACUACGUG
RNAcentral lists this ribosomal RNA (497 nucleotides) under uncultured bacterium. RNAcentral describes it as "partial 16S ribosomal RNA". It matches the Rfam family "Bacterial small subunit ribosomal RNA", at positions 28 to 507 of the family's 1533-position model. The record is from RNAcentral.